UUGAACGCUGGCGGCAUGCUUUACACAUGCAAGUCGAACGGCAGCGCGGGCUUCGGCCUGGCGGCGAGUGGCGAACGGGUGAGUAAUACAUCGGAACGUGCCCAGUAGUGGGGGAUAGCUCGGCGAAAGCCGGAUUAAUACCGCAUACGACCUGAGGGUGAAAGCGGGGGAUCUUCGGACCUCGCGCUAUUGGAGCGGCCGAUGGCAGAUUAGCUAGUUGGUGGGGUAAAGGCCUACCAAGGCGACGAUCUGUAGCUGGUCUGAGAGGACGACCAGCCACACGGGGACUGAGACACGGCCCAGACUCCUACGGGAGGCAGCAGUGGGGAAUUUUGGACAAUGGGCGAAAGCCUGAUCCAGCAAUGCCGCGUGUGUGAUGAAGGCCUUCGGGUUGUAAAGCACUUUUGGCGGGAACGAAAAGGACUGUGCCAAUACCACGGUUCGAUGACGGUACCCGCAGAAUAAGCACCGGCUAACUACGUG
This 483-nucleotide ribosomal RNA is filed under the name uncultured bacterium. RNAcentral's name for it is "partial 16S ribosomal RNA". It matches the Rfam family "Bacterial small subunit ribosomal RNA", at positions 29 to 507 of the family's 1533-position model. The record is from RNAcentral.